Molecule: ribosomal RNA, 424 nt
Filed under: uncultured bacterium
Lineage: Bacteria
Description: bacterial SSU rRNA
Rfam family: Bacterial small subunit ribosomal RNA
Source: RNAcentral
GGAGUUUUCGGCAAUGGGGGAAACCCUGACCGAGCAACGCCGCGUGAGUGAUGACGGCCCUAUGGGUUGUAAAACUCUGUUGUAAGGGACGAAAGGCUAGCUUAGGAAAUGAAGUUAGUUUGACGGUACCUUACCAGAAAGCCACGGCUCACUACGUGCCAGCAGCCGCGGUAAUACGUAGGUGGCAAGCGUUAUCCGGAAUUAUUGGGCGUAAAGAGGGAGCAGGCGACAUGAUAAGUUUGAAGUGAAAGCGUGAGGCUCAACCUCAUACAGCUUCGAAAACUGUCAAGUUAGAGUACGAGAGAAGUGAACGGAACUCCAUGUGUAGCGGUGAAAUGCGUAGAUAUAUGGAAGAACACCAGUGGCGAAGGCGGUUCACUAGCUCGAAACUGACGCUCAGUCCCGAAAGCGUGGGUAGCAAAUA